This is a long non-coding RNA of Boleophthalmus pectinirostris (great blue-spotted mudskipper), 1231 nucleotides long. RefSeq lists it as uncharacterized. The transcript has 3 exons. The record is from RefSeq and is a predicted model, not a curated record. Lineage: Eukaryota; Metazoa; Chordata; Actinopteri; Gobiiformes; Gobiidae.
UGGCUAACUUGGUGAGCUAUUAGUAGUUAUUUUGCAAAGAUGUCUCCACAAACUGGGAGCUCGGGAAAGAGUCCCCGUGCACCUAUAGAGUCAACACUCAGAUCAGAUUACUGAAUAAGUGUAUGUCAUCUUCUCAUGCUGUUUCGGAUUUCUCACUCUGAGUUAAAAUGUUUGAUUAUUAGGUACGCGUACUGACAGCUCUGAACACGUAGACUGAGAUGAGCGCCGGGGCGCUGUCAUGUGCACAGUGGGAAGGGGAGAAAUGUCUAUUACGAUCGUCUAGAACGAGUGUGUAUCCAGUGUCAGAAAGAACAGGUUUUAAUAGUUUUACAGCCCUGCCGUCAGUAAACAAGAGAACAAUUUGGCCAAUAAUCACAGGCGGGCCCCUUCAUGCGUAACUUGGGAGAUACCACGGCUGCAGGCGCCACUGGAUCCAUGGAUGAAGCAUAUGGCAAUAAGCCGUACGUCUGAUGAACCGUGGAGACCACCUCAAACAGCACGUGACUGUGACGUAUUCCCCCAGCCUACAGCUAAGGCACAAACACAGCGAAGAGACAUAAAAGUCAUAAUCGGGGAAAAUGUCCACUUCCUGCAUUCAGUGCUAAUGUGACAUCAAACUGAAAGUUCGCAUUUUGACCAAAAACUGCGGCUCUUGAUCCUGUGUUUGUUUGAGACUUCUCUUCUCGAAACUGUCGGACGACACCAUAACAGCGCCGUGUGUGUGGGUGGACAGUGUACCCCUGCGAACCAUUCCCACCACAUCCCUGAUCUUCAAUGAAUAUACUAGGAGCCAUGCUGGUGGCAGUAUUGAAGCUAUACUUGAUUGGCACAGCUUUGAUGGUCGUGGCUGUCCUCUACGUGAUUGUGGACUCCGUGGGUGGACUAAUGUUUGCUCGGAAUCAGUACUACUUUCUGGAAUUACAUCAAGACGGAUGGGAACGGAGCAGAGAUGCUAACACAGAACCAGGAGCACUAUGCCACAGACCUCUUAUGACAAGGCCAUAAAUUAAUUACGUAUGAAAUCACUGCAGCCUACAUGAUUUACUGCAGGUAGUAGUCUGUUAGGUUACACAUCUUCGGAUUUGUCAGAUUUGUGAACUUAUGUGAACAGAUUUGUGAUAAUUGCAACUACUUGACAGCUUCAUGACUUGCACUAACUUUGUUUAAACUGUUUUACUACAAUGUUUAUAUUUACUGGAUUUAUUAAAUGUGAAAAUGGAAAGAACUUUCA